GUACCUAUGUUCCAAGACCCAAUCCUUAGUCUAUGGACGUCCGCCGCCCUCUUCCCACCCUUUCCUCCCGCCCUGCCCGAAGUGCCAUCCCCUGCUCCCUACUCACCCCCGCUACCACCCCCACCCCCUGAGGACAUGACCUUACGCUAUCAUCUCCCACCGCGGCCACUAUCCCACUAACCGAUAUGGGGUACAGUAGCACACGCACGCACUAUAGCAAAAAACGCAAAUGUAUCAAACUAGAUAACAACAGAAUAGAACACACUCUGAAUGCUAGCUAAAAUAAGUGAAAA
RNAcentral lists this long non-coding RNA (293 nucleotides) under Nicotiana benthamiana. RNAcentral describes it as "long non-coding RNA (NBEN_LNC026373)". Lineage: Eukaryota; Viridiplantae; Streptophyta; Magnoliopsida; Solanales; Solanaceae. The record is from RNAcentral.